CGGGGCGUAUCAUAAUGGUAGUGUGCACGCAUGGGGUGCGCGCGGCCCGAGUUCGAUUCUCGGCGCCCCGACAA
RNAcentral lists this transfer RNA (74 nucleotides) under Candidatus Pacebacteria bacterium RIFOXYB1_FULL_44_10. RNAcentral describes it as "tRNA-Pro". It matches the Rfam family "tRNA". From Rfam's summary of the family: Transfer RNA (tRNA) molecules are approximately 80 nucleotides in length. Their secondary structure includes four short double-helical elements and three loops (D, anti-codon, and T loops). Lineage: Bacteria; Bacillati; Minisyncoccota. RNAcentral also lists the same sequence under 1 other name. The record is from RNAcentral.